Molecule: unclassified non-coding RNA, 385 nt
Filed under: uncultured fungus
Lineage: Eukaryota; Fungi
Description: partial contains small subunit ribosomal RNA, internal transcribed spacer 1, and 5.8S ribosomal RNA
Rfam family: Eukaryotic small subunit ribosomal RNA (bases 1-73)
Source: RNAcentral
GCAAACUUGGUCAUUUAGAGGAAGUAAAAGUCGUAACAAGGUUUCCGUAGGUGAACCUGCGGAAGGAUCAUUAACGAAUAUACAGGAAUUCGAUUAUAAAAGAAUCGUUUUUGGUUUUUUUGUAUGAGAAUUCCCAUUAUGACAAUUAAUGUUAUAUCCACCCUUUUCAAUGUGAAAUUUGUUUGAAAUGUAGUUAUGACUUUCUGGUUGGGUGUUUUGGACUUUUGAAGUUUGAAACGAUAAAUUGCCUGCCAGGAGGUUUUUUUCUAUCUAAACCAAUGCUAAAUGAAUUGUUGAAUUAGAUGAAUCAUUUUUAAUAAUGAACAAACUUAAUACAACUUGCAACAAUGGAUCUCUAGGCUCUUGCAUCGAUGAAGAACGCAGC